This 453-nucleotide ribosomal RNA is filed under the name uncultured Porphyromonadaceae bacterium. RNAcentral's name for it is "partial 16S ribosomal RNA". It matches the Rfam family "Bacterial small subunit ribosomal RNA", at positions 341 to 792 of the family's 1533-position model. The record is from RNAcentral. Lineage: Bacteria; Pseudomonadati; Bacteroidota; Bacteroidia; Bacteroidales; Porphyromonadaceae.
ACGGAAGGCAGCAGUGAGGAAUAUUGGUCAAUGGGCGGAAGCCUGAACCAGCCAAGUCGCGUGAAGGAUGAAGGUAUUAUGUAUUGUAAACUUCUUUAGCAGUGGAGUAAUAAGGCGGUCGUGACCGCUGAUGCAAGUACACUGAGAAUAGGGAUCGGCUAACUCCGUGCCAGCAGCCGCGGUAAUACGGAGGAUCCGAGCGUUAUCCGGAUUUAUUGGGUUUAAAGGGUGCGCAGGCGGCUUUUUAAGUCAGUGGUUAAAUCGUGGAGCUCAACUCCAUCUCGCCAUUGAUACUGGAGAGCUUGAUUGCGGUCGAGGUUGGCGGAAUUCGUCGUGUAGCGGUGAAAUGCAUAGAUAUGACGAAGAACACCGAUUGCGUAGGCAGCUGACCAGGCCGUAAAUGACGCUCAUGCACGAAAGUGCGGGGAUCGAACAGGAUUAGAUACCCUGGUA